Molecule: long non-coding RNA, 2061 nt
Organism: Sciurus carolinensis (gray squirrel)
Lineage: Eukaryota; Metazoa; Chordata; Mammalia; Rodentia; Sciuridae
Exons: 3
Source: RefSeq, a predicted model, not a curated record
CCGAACAGAUGCCCAGGCUGAUAAAAUAAAGUGCCCAAGGUCACAUAGUGCGCAGAUGGCAAAGCUCGGACUCCACCUGCGCCACUUGCUCUGCAGGGCGCCUGCUCGCCAGGGCCUGGGAGGGUCGCAGCCCAGCUCUCACCAGCCCCAGGAAGGCCGCAUACAGGAUCACGGUGGUGAACCAGCGCAGCACGCUCGCGGCGCUGCCGCUUGGCCGGGAGACCGUCACCGUCUCCGGCUUAUUCCCGGCCGGGGCCUCCGCCUGGAGGAGCCGCUGCCCAGCAGCCGCGGCCUGGGUCCCACGAAACUCCAGUUCCAGCUCCAGCUUGGUGACUCCGAAAUGGUCUUGCUGCGGUUCUCCGUUCAACCGAGCUUCAGAGGUUCUGAGGUGAGCCACGGUCCUGUCCCUUGCGUCCCGACUGUUGGCAAAGUCGCCGCCUCCCCGAGAACCGCCCCCAAGAAAGUCGGACUUUGGGAUGCGCAGGUGUGACACGCAGCGGGCACUCGCGCUCCGGAUCGCACUUCAGAUGAGACCACUAAGGCCAGGGACACCGCGCACCUUGGCAGAGCCAACCGAAGCUGCAGCCUCGGAACACCAAUUUAAGGGCAAGUCAAGGCUUCCACUGCUCCCUUUGCAGGACCCUGGUUUCCAAAAAUGGAAGAUGCUGAGUCAAUAUCUGUUAAAUGACUGAACUGUAUGAACUUGGACGAAACUUCCUGAUCCUCAGAGAUUAGGGUUUUAAUAGUAUCUCUUGAAAACUAUAAAUCUACUUACAGUUCACUCAAGUGUAAAUGAUAUCACAUUAGGACAGUGCUUCUUUUUCUUGAUAAAAAUCAUAUUCCACUAACUUUAUAUGAUAGACUCUUCCACAAAAGUCUGCAAUUUGCUUUAAUUUCAUUUGUUCAUUCCAAUUGAAAAGAGGUUUCUAGGGCCUACCAGUUCCACUUAGGGACCAAUUAGCAAUAGUCACUGAGCGUAGUCCUACUCAGAUAAAGUCAGUGGAACUUCCCUUCAGGUCUAAUGGUCCCUGUACUCUGAAUGGAAUAUAGAGAUGGACAGUCUCUCAAAGAAGCAGUGGCAUCAAGCCAAGAUCAACUCAUCCUUAGGCUGACUGGGAAAUUCUAUGGCUAGGCCUAUAAAGACAAUGACAUCUACUUAGGUCAGACAAAUUCCUUCUGAUUCUGGACCAGAAAUAUACAGAGGAUAAUCCAGAAGGUGAAGGAGGAAGGAAUAGUCCCUGGUUGGGGUAGAGCUGCUGUCAGAGAGUCAGAGAGCAGCCUAACCCAUGGUUCCCUAACCACAGACCCAGUCAGUCAGAGGGAUCUCCAUGUUUGUAAACAAAGGAGCACAGGAUGAUUCAAUUAAUAGAAAAUUGUAAUCUAAGCCCCAAAUCACAUGAUAAUGAUACUUGGUCCUUUAAAGACAAGAAAGGAAGAUCAUUAAUACUUAGUUUGCCACGCCUAGCACAUGGUAAGAUCUCAAACACUUGCUCACAUAUGGAGCAAAACUGGAAGGAGAGAUGACAAAAGUAUGAGGUAGAUGCCUGACAUAACCUUUCUUUAAAUUCAAUUCCUCACUUCAUGAGUAAACUGAUUAUAAUAGUCCAAAAAUCUUAUGGCUUGAAGCAAUAGUUUAACGAGCACGUGUUUCUCUGUGAUCUUCUUAUAAUUGGUGUCUUGGAUUAGAGUUAAUCCAAAACAAUGAAGUAAAACAAUAAAAACACACCAAAAUAUUCAAAAUAGAAUUACCACAUUAUCUACUUAUGGGUAUAUACCCUAAAAGGAUUGAAAAUAGGGUCUAGAAAUUUAUGUAUUCACAUUUAUAGUAACAUUACCACAACAGUCAAAAAUGGAAGCACCCAAAUGUCCAUGCACAGAUGAAUGGAUAAAUACAAUGUGGAACAUACAAUGAAAUAUUAUUCAGGCUGAAGUGGGAAAGAAAUUCUGACAUGUUCUACAACACUGAUGAAUCUUGAACACAUUGUGCUAAGUGAAAGAAGCUAGUAACGAAAGGACAAAUGCUGUAUGAUUUUGCUUGUAUGAAGUAAUUUCAGUAGGCAA